Anthonomus grandis grandis is the source of this 3261-nucleotide long non-coding RNA. RefSeq lists it as uncharacterized. The transcript is spliced from 2 exons. NCBI's taxonomy places the organism in Eukaryota, Metazoa, Arthropoda, Insecta, Coleoptera, Curculionidae. The record is from RefSeq and is a predicted model, not a curated record.
UUGUAGUUAAAGUUGAUUAGAAGCUUUUAUUUAGAGUUCUACUUACGUUUACUUUAAUAUUACGUUUACUUUAAUAUAAUAAUACUUUUAAUAUUUUUAAGGAGUUUCAUCUUUUUUGAGGGCUGCAUUUUGGUUCCAAUUUAGGUUAGAUUAUUGUAAAUCCUUGUAUUUUAAUUUUUUUAGAAUUUGUAUACUUGCUUGCUUUGACUGUCAGUAUUCUCUUCAAAUUAAUGGUCUCUUUCAGCAAAAACAAUGAAAAAAAUUCUUCACUAAAUUCUAAUUUCAUGGGUCUGAAGGUCAAAUGGUCAAAAGGACGCGUUUCGUGACAUUUUAUUCAGUUUUAAUUGUUUAGUCAGUUUUUACCUUGGAAACGGCAGGCAACGCGAGUCAGGUUGGAGUUUUUGAGCAUGAAGCAAGACUUACUGAAUUUAAAAGAUCUUAAAAAAGGCCAGGAGAAACAAGACAGAAAACAAGAGAAAAGAGAUUUACAACUUCAAGAGACAACCUGGAGAUAAACCAAUAAAAAAUUAAUGACUAACUUCGAAGCAACAGUGGAAGAAGAACUGGGGCAAGUACAAAACAAGAUCCAAGAACUAGAGAUGAAAGUAAAGCGUGUCCCUCUUCAUCCCAAUCCUGGAAUGCAAACAAUGAUGACAAUGAAACCACUUGAAUCCGCAAACUGAUUUAAGUGGAUCGCUACUGAAAUCGCUGGGAUAACGAAGAAAGGGCAAUCAAUCUUAAGCUAUUAAUUAAGAGGAGAAGCUACAGAAAUACUAAGAAUGGUGCCAUCUGAGGAUCAGCUCAAGUUUGACGUACUGGCGCGUCCUUAGAAAUGAGGUACGGUGAAGCCCAUCGGACCAGUAGCAAAAAUUUACGGCAGUCACGUGACCUAAAACUCAAACGUCAAUUAUCAGUCAAAAUUCAUUAAUUGCAUCCUAGUUUUGCAAAAUGAGCUAGGGACCAAAAAGUAGUAUUUAUAUGCUAAUGAUGGUUGCCAAAUUUCAAAUUUUUAUAUAAACGCAUUAAAAAAAUAAAAAGGGGGGAGGAAGGACACUGUAUGGAAACAAGUGUACUCAAGUGAAAUCUAGGUGACAACAACCCGGACUCCAACACUUUGAGGCCGAUGUUGCUCGAUUAGGAAAUCUGACUUAUCCUUCAGCCCCAACAGAGUUCCGAGAAUAAAUUUCUAUAAACUGUUUUAUUAUUUAUUAAGACUGAGUAAUUUUUAGCUAGAAAGCCUAAAAGGCCAUUCCAAUGUUGGAAUUGUAAUGAGGAGGGGCACCUUAAACAUCAAUGCCCCAAGCCAUUAAAAGACCCAAGGAACCAGAAAAACUUCAGCUCCAUAAACCAGAAAACCUUUAUGGGGCGCAAGUUGACUGGGUACUACCAAAGCCUACGUAUAAGACUAAACCGGCUGCCACGUCCUGGACUGAGCUUGGUAGUACCCCGGGAAAAAUAUGCGGCCGUGAAUGUCAGAUGGUGGUGGAUAUAGGAUCAAGUCAUACUAUCGUGAAGCGGAACAUAGUAGCUCACUGUAGGAUUUCAGUAUCACUAAAUUUCAUUCUGUCCGGGGAUGGAAAAAGCUUUCGAGCCUAGAAAAAGACGUAAAUAAACGUCGACAUUGAAUAUAUUACAGAAGAUUUGUAAGAAAUUUUGCUAACCUUGUAAAACUAGUUGGCGAGCAAACUGUGAAGAACCAUUUCAAUGCCUAAAAAGAGUACUGUGCACAUCUCCAAUUUUAACGAAUCCGAUCCCGAAUGUUGGAAUUGGAGCCAUGACGGCUCCACCACAGAAAUAGAAAUAGCAUUGGAGCCAUCACAGAAAUAUGAAGACUGCGAGCGAGUAAUAGCUUACUUCAGUAAACGCUAUCCAAACGAUAUUUACUUGUCAUCGUAUUAGCAUUAUUAGUUCUGAAGAGUUGGACGCAGCUAGUUUAAUAACGGAUUUUAUUGAAGCUGUCCAUGGUGGUGUUGGCGGAGAAUAUUUUGGAGUUAGUAAGACCUUGGCAAAAGUGAGAGAACGAUUUUACAGUCUGAACAGUCAUGAAUAUGUUGAACGCUGGUGCCGACAGUGUGAACAAUAUUCGUCAAGCAAGGGUCAAAGGACCCGGACUGGAGAAAAAUUAUGUAGUAUCUUGUUGGUGUACCUUUUGAACGAAUUGCCACCAAAGACGUAGAUAAGGCCCUUUUCCUACUAGUAGUUCCGGAAAUCGAUGUACUCUUGUUGCUAUGGAUUACUCGCAAGUGGCCUGAGGUUUAUUACCAUUCCAAACCAAGAAGCAACCACAGUAGCUGAAAUGCAGUUCCAGAACUGGAUAUGCCGAUUUGGUAUCGCCAGAGAGAUACAUUUAGUAUAUACAUUAUACAUACACUAAGGCAGUCAAAUAUUCCAACAAGUAUCUCAGUCUGAUGGAAUGGUUAAAAGAUUUAAUCGCAUAUUGGAAACCUAUUUGAGAAUUGUGGUAAACUCUAAGCAAACGAACUGGAAUACCUGUCUAACAAUUCCUAUUAUCAUAUUGUUCUUCUAUCCACAAGUCAACUGGGAAAAGCCCGGCAAAAAUUUUGUUCGGUGAUGAACUUCAUUUACCUUUGGACAUUAUUACUGGGAGACCCCAUAAGUCUAAAACCCAUGAGGAGUACGCCGACCAUCUACAAGAAUGUUUGCUAAUGGUCCAUGAACAAGCACAGGCUAAACUUCACCUAGAAAGUAACAGAAUGAAAUCACGUUAUGACAUAAAGACAAAUUCUACCGGUUUUAAUCCUGGGGAUAGAGUCUGGCUAUACAAUCCACGGAGGACAAAGACACCAAAGCUCCGAGAGGAUUGGGAAAAUCGAUUCCAUGUGGUUACCAAAAUUAACGACGUGGUGUACCGGAUCCCGCGACGUCGGACAACAAAGAUGAACAUCGUAAACAUCCUCCGGUUAGCGCCUUAUCAUGAUUCAGGUGGCCCCAUCUUUGACCCUGGAGGUGUUGCUUAAUCGAGACGAUCAAACUUGAUAAUGAACGAAGCCAAAGUCUGCCAUCGAAGUACUCGGCUCGGGGUUCGGAUCCGCGCGUCAAUUCAAAAUAGGCAGCGAGCGUCAGGCCCCUGGUAUUAGGCAACGAACCAAACUUUAAAUGUUUUGUAUAGCUUAAAAUUUUAAAGCUUUUUAGUUCCAUAUAACUUUUUUAUUUAUUCGUGUUUAUAUUUUACUUAUGGUAUUUUUCCUAGCUAUACAAAAUAUAAUAGUUAAAAAUAUAAUGAAAUUUUAAUAUAAUUAA